CCUACGGGUGGCAGCAGUGAGGAAUAUUGGUCAAUGGGAGGAAUCCUGAACCAGCCAUGCCGCGUGCAGGACGACGGCUCUACGAGUUGUAAACUGCUUUUGUACCGGGGUAAAUUGCUCUACGAGUAGGGUUUUGAAAGUACGGUACGAAUAAGGAUCGGCUAACUCCGUGCCAGCAGCCGCGGUAAUACGGAGGAUCCGAGCGUUAUCCGGAUUUAUUGGGUUUAAAGGGUGCGUAGGUUGUUUUAUAAGUUAGCGGUGAAAUACCGAUGCUCAACAUCGGGGCUGCCGCUGAUACUGUAGGACUAGAGAUCGGAUGCAGCAGGCGGAAUGUGUAGUGUAGCGGUGAAAUGCAUAGAUAUUACACAGAACACCGAGUGCGAAGGCAGCUUGCUAGGCCGGAUCUGACACUGAUGCACGAAAGCGUGGGGAUCGAACAGGAUUAGAUACCCCGGUAGUC
Molecule: ribosomal RNA, 460 nt
Filed under: uncultured bacterium
Lineage: Bacteria
Description: partial 16S ribosomal RNA
Rfam family: Bacterial small subunit ribosomal RNA
Source: RNAcentral